RNAcentral lists this ribosomal RNA (253 nucleotides) under uncultured bacterium. RNAcentral's name for it is "partial 16S ribosomal RNA". It matches the Rfam family "Bacterial small subunit ribosomal RNA", at positions 524 to 776 of the family's 1533-position model. The record is from RNAcentral.
GACGUAGGAGGCGAGCGUUGUCCGGAUUCAUUGGGCGUAAAGAGCACGCAGGCGGUUUGGCAAGUCGGAUGUGAAAACCCGAAGCUCAACUUCGGGCCUGCAUCCGAAACUGCCCGACUAGAGGUAGGUAGGGGAGAUCGGAAUUCCUGGUGUAGCGGUGAAAUGCGCAGAUAUCAGGAGGAACGCCGGUGGCGAAGGCGGAUCUCUGGGCCUUACCUGACGCUCAGGUGCGAAAGCUAGGGGAGCGAACAGG